GGCGUGCUAAUGGAUGUUACAGGUGGACCAUUUGAUUUGAUGUCACGAAGAGUAAUUGCUGCAAAUAAUAGAAUAUUAGCAGAAAGGAUAGCUAAAGAAAUUCAGGUUAUACCUUUGCAACGAGACGACGAAGAUUAAUUAAGGCAGCCUCAUAGUCAAUCCCAGUUGCUUUUCCCCAGAUUUGGUGACUCAUCAAUGGAUAUGUGUUUUGGAUGUAUGAUAUGCUUGGUUUAAAUUCUCUUUGUCCAGGUCAAAAAUUUGGAACUUGUUUCUUAUUUUACUAUGUCUAGGUUUGCAAGAAUUGACAUAAUGUUUGUUUCACUGAUUUAAAAAAUUUUGCAUGUAAGAAUGUACUUUAGGAAACAUACCCAGGAAGUACAGUUGAUAAAUAUAACAUCAACUGAAAUAGUCAAUUAGCAAUUUUGUGUUUCUAAAUAUCUAUGGUCCCCUGAAAUUUUGACUUAGUAUAUAGGUGCAGAGACACCCACUUAGAAAGUUAACUGUUUGGAAAAACAUUUCUCUUUAGUUUCAAAAACCAUAUAUAAUUAAAUUUGUAAGGAUAUACUGAGUACCCUAGGCCAACUUUUUUUUCUUUGCAGAGAACCUUUUUUUUAAAUUUUUUUUAUUUCACGUUACCAUGCCAUUUCACAUUACCAUACCAUCAGAUAGCAUGGCUUAUUGUGGGCAUUUCUGCAGUGAAUACAUUUUCCAAAACAGUUAAAUUGUCUGUUUGGAUUUGCUUUAAAGUCUUGUGUAAGAGAGAAGAAACUAUUUCUAUAAUAAAAAGCACUCUCAUCAGAUAUCUGACAUAAUUAGAUACAAUAUAACAUUUUACUAAGUUCAGUAUUCAUGUUUUAAAGGUGUUUAUACUGAUUUGAUUGUGCUGGCAAAUAUACUGUAUUGUUAAUAUUGAACUGUUUAUUUUUCUCUUAGUCUUCUUAUUUAAUUAACUUCAUUGCCGCUGGAUUCUGUUCAGCCUUUAAAAAUAUUUCUUAGUGGUCAUUGCUCUGCAGAACUCAAAAAGAAAAUUGUACUUGUUCAUAGACAUUUUUAAAGGGUUAAUUUAUUGUUCAGCCUUAUCCCUUGGCACGUAAACAGACUACUAGACUUAUUGUAGGUUCGUUUGAGCUUUGUGUUGUAAAAUUAAAAAUGCUUCUGUAAAGUUUUCAAGGUAGGGAGUGAUUUUAUUAUUGUGUAUAUCUAAUAUAUUAAGUAUGUGUGAUACUAAGGUUUGACUGCUAUAAUUAUUUGUACUGUUGAUCACAUGUACUUAAAACAUCUGAUACUGUAUUCU
Molecule: long non-coding RNA, 1294 nt
Filed under: Homo sapiens (human)
Lineage: Eukaryota; Metazoa; Chordata; Mammalia; Primates; Hominidae
Description: HSALNT0139484
Source: RNAcentral